This 336-nucleotide ribosomal RNA is filed under the name uncultured bacterium. RNAcentral describes it as "bacterial SSU rRNA". It matches the Rfam family "Bacterial small subunit ribosomal RNA", at positions 72 to 422 of the family's 1533-position model. The record is from RNAcentral.
AAGGGUAGCAAUACCUGAGUAAAGUGGCGCACGGGUGAGUAACACGUGACUAACCUACCCUCGAGUGUGGAAUAACAUCGGGAAACCGAUGCUAAUACCGCAUAACAUCGCAAGAUCAAAGGAGCAAUCCGCUUGAGGAGGGGGUCGCGGCUGAUUAGCUAGUUGGCGGGGUAACGGCCCACCAAGGCGAAGAUCGGUAGCCGGCCUGAGAGGGCGCACGGCCACACUGGAACUGAAACACGGUCCAGACUCCUACGGGAGGCAGCAGUGGGGAAUUUUGCGCAAUGGGGGAAACCCUGACGCAGCAACGCCGCGUGGAGGAUGAAGCCCCUUGGG